RNAcentral lists this ribosomal RNA (250 nucleotides) under uncultured bacterium. Its description in RNAcentral is "partial 16S ribosomal RNA". It matches the Rfam family "Bacterial small subunit ribosomal RNA", at positions 28 to 298 of the family's 1533-position model. The record is from RNAcentral.
GACGAACGCUGGCGGCGUGCCUAAUACAUGCAAGUCAAGGGGCUUAUGGUAGCAAUACUUUAAGUCACUGGCGUACGGGUGAGUAACGCGUAGACAACCUGCCCUUAACUCAGGCAUAACAUUUCUAACGAAAUGCUAACACCUGAUGAGGAGGAAGCUCCAAACUUAGGUUAAGGAUGGGUCUGCGUCUGAUUAGCUAGUUGGUGAGGUAACGGCUCACCAAGGCCACGAUCAGUAGCUGGUCUGAGAG